This 399-nucleotide ribosomal RNA is filed under the name uncultured Acidobacterium sp. RNAcentral's name for it is "bacterial SSU rRNA". It matches the Rfam family "Bacterial small subunit ribosomal RNA", at positions 9 to 432 of the family's 1533-position model. Lineage: Bacteria; Pseudomonadati; Acidobacteriota; Terriglobia; Terriglobales; Acidobacteriaceae. The record is from RNAcentral.
GAGUUUGAUCCUGGCUCAGAAUCAACGCUGGCGGCGUGCCUAACACAUGCAAGUCGCACGGCCGGGCAACCGGCAGUGGCGGACGGGUGAGUAACGCGUAGGGAUCUGUCCACGGGUGGGGGAUAACGCCGGGAAACUGGUGCUAAUACCGCAUGACGCCUGAGGGUCAAAGGUCGCAAGACCGCCUGUGGAGGAGCCUGCGUCCGAUUAGCUAGUUGGUGGGGUAAUGGCCUACCAAGGCGACGAUCGGCAGCUGGUCUGAGAGGAUGAUCAGCCACACUGGGACUGAGACACGGCCCAGACUCCUACGGGAGGCAGCAGUGGGGAAUAUUGGACAAUGGGCGCAAGCCUGAUCCAGCCAUGCCGCGUGGAUGAUGAAGGCCUUAGGGUUGUAAAGUC